This is a long non-coding RNA of Bos taurus (domestic cattle), 916 nucleotides long. Lineage: Eukaryota; Metazoa; Chordata; Mammalia; Artiodactyla; Bovidae. The record is from Ensembl.
AGCCUCAAUCUGCAACCAGGCAAGAUGAAAGGAAAUGCUAAACUCAGGAUGCCUGUGGAAACAUUUAAAAUCAUUUGCUUAAGAUUUGUCAAUAGAUAUCUGCAAAUGUAAAGACUUACCAGGACAUGCAGGCCUUCAGGAGAAGAGUUUCAAAGUGGUUUACAUUUCAGCUUCAAUAUUUAUAAACAGAAUGAAAUCCGGAGGGAAGGAGCCUGGAGAGAUAAGCCUUUGGUAGGUCUGAGCUGCAGCCCAAGAUUCUGCAUUUUGAACAAGCUCCCAGGUGAUGGCAAUGCUGCUGAUCUAUGGGCCACAGUUUGAAUAGCCAUGAUCUAUGGUCCCUUCUAGUCCUGACAGUAUCCUCUGAUACAUAGCCUUCAUUCACAUUGAAAAGAAGGAAAACAGAAAGAACCAUAGUAUUCUGUGAGCAAGUGGAGUCUGAGGAGGACAUAUCCACAGAAACCUCAUUUUCUCAACUCCAGGACAUGGAAUGCAGGUUGGACAGACACAGUGAGGAUAAGCUGUAUAAGGACACCACCUUGAGAAAGGCCAAGCCACAGACCAGAAAAAGCCCAAGUCCUCUGUGACAUACAGAAUAGAGUCGCUGACCAGGUUCAGCUGUCUGCUGACCUCUGUGUGGUGAACAAGAGAAAAAUAAAAGCCUGUCUUAUUCUGGGGUCUCUCUGUCACAGCUCUGUGAUAAAAUGAAUUGUGUCUUUCCAAAAUUCGUAUGUUGAAGCCCAGCCCCCAGCUGUGAUUGAACUUGGAGAUAUGGAUUGUAAGGAUUAAGUGAGGUCAGGGGAAGGGCUCUGUCCUGUAGGACUAGUAUUCUUAUAAGAAGUGAGGUAGACACCAGAUCGCUCUCCUGUCCUCAGUGCUCACACCAAGGAAAGGCCAUCUGAGGACACAGUGAGAAGAC